ACGGAAGGCAGCAGUGAGGAAUAUUGGUCAAUGGGCGGAAGCCUGAACCAGCCAAGUCGCGUGAAGGAUGAAGGUAUUAUGUAUUGUAAACUUCUUUAGACGUAGAGAAAUAAGGGGAUCGUGAUCCCUGAUGCUAGUAUACGUAGAAUAAGGAUCGGCUAACUCCGUGCCAGCAGCCGCGGUAAUACGGAGGAUCCGAGCGUUAUCCGGAUUUAUUGGGUUUAAAGGGUGCGCAGGCGGCUUUUUAAGUCAGUGGUUAAACCGUGGAGCUUAACUCCAUCCCGCCAUUGAUACUGGAGAGCUUGAUUGCGGUUGAGGUUGGCGGAAUUCGCCGUGUAGCGGUGAAAUGCAUAGAUAUGGCGAAGAACUCCGAUUGCGUAGGCAGCUGACCAAGCCGUAAAUGACGCUCAUGCACGAAAGUGCGGGGAUCGAACAGGAUUAGAUACCCUGGUA
RNAcentral lists this ribosomal RNA (453 nucleotides) under uncultured Porphyromonadaceae bacterium. Its description in RNAcentral is "partial 16S ribosomal RNA". It matches the Rfam family "Bacterial small subunit ribosomal RNA", at positions 341 to 792 of the family's 1533-position model. Lineage: Bacteria; Pseudomonadati; Bacteroidota; Bacteroidia; Bacteroidales; Porphyromonadaceae. The record is from RNAcentral.